Plectropomus leopardus (leopard coralgrouper) is the source of this 1026-nucleotide non-coding RNA. NCBI's taxonomy places the organism in Eukaryota, Metazoa, Chordata, Actinopteri, Perciformes, Serranidae. The record is from RefSeq and is a predicted model, not a curated record.
GAAGCAGAGACGAAUUACACGCACCAAGUGAGGCGUCUGAGCAGAUGAGAUGCUUCUUUCUGCAAAAAUAAGAUGAAGCAACAGACGCAGGAGGAUGAAGGUACUGGAGAAAGUAGUCGCUGCCCACCUGCAGGACCAUCUCAAAUCCAACACAGUUUGAGAUUUGAGAAAAUUCCAGUCUGGUUUCCGCUCUGCCCGCGGCACAGAAACCGCUCUUGUUCGGGUCGCCCUCUCUCCUCAUUCUCCUUGACCUGUCUGCAGUAUACGACACCGCUGACCAUGGCAUACCGCUCACCCGACUACAUCACACCAUCAGACUCACUGACACCGCCCUUCAGUGGUUUCACUCAUGCCUCACUAACAGAACCGAGUAUGUCUCCAUGGGAGGUGCAAGGUCCCGGACACACACUUUCACCUGCGGGGUCCCUCAAGGGUCGAUCCUCGGCCCCAUCUUCUUCACUCUCUUAAUGCUUCCCCUUGGACAUGUCAUCAGUCAGUGUGAAAUCUCAUUCAAAUGCGACGCUGAUGACACACAAUUAUACAUGAAAAUGGACACACACCACCAACUUCUUCAUCAUCACCGUCUCUCUCCUCACCGCGAGUCUGGAGGAGUCGAAGGCUUGGAUGAAGCACAACUUUCUGCAACUUAAGAGCUUCAAAGCUGAAGCCAUUUUAGUUGGUACUCCUCAUCAGAUCCAGUCAUCCUCCAUAAGCAGCAUAUCAUUCUCUGACCAGGACAUCCCCCUCUCCUCCGCAGUCACCACAUUAAACAGCUCUGCAAAAACUCCGUCCACCACCUCAGAAAUAUUGCCAAGCUCCGUCCAACACUCACCCUUUCUGAUCCUGAGAAGUUUGUCUCCUCCAGACUGUGACACGCUUGUCAUCAGGAUCCCCAGCAAGAGACUCCAAAGACUCCAGUCUCCAUCCCCCCAGGACUAAGCUCCACCCCCUGCUGCCCAUCGUCUGGGGAACGCCCUUCUUGACUGUCGAGUCUUUAAAAAAAGGACUGAAAACAUCCCUUUUUUC